RNAcentral lists this ribosomal RNA (255 nucleotides) under uncultured bacterium. Its description in RNAcentral is "partial 16S ribosomal RNA". It matches the Rfam family "Bacterial small subunit ribosomal RNA", at positions 524 to 776 of the family's 1533-position model. The record is from RNAcentral.
UACAGACAGUGCAAGCGUUAUUCGGAAUGGCUGGGCGUAAAGGGUGUGUAGGCUGUACUGAUUAACUAGGAUGGUAAAUGCUGUGGUAUAACCAUAGAGGGUCAGCCUGACGUUAACGUACUUGAGUUUGGAAGGGGUUGGAAGAAAUUCUGGUGUAAGGUUAAAAUUUGAAGAUAUUGGAAAGAAGUCCGAGGGCGGAAGCAUCCUUCUGGUCUAAACUGACGCUGAGGUACGAAGGCAUGGGGAGCAAACAGG